Molecule: ribosomal RNA, 752 nt
Filed under: Bacillus sp. LKS-116B
Lineage: Bacteria; Bacillati; Bacillota; Bacilli; Caryophanales; Bacillaceae
Description: bacterial SSU rRNA
Rfam family: Bacterial small subunit ribosomal RNA
Source: RNAcentral
UAAUACAUGCAAGUCGAGCGAAUGGAUUAAGAGCUUGCUCUUAUGAAGUUAGCGGCGGACGGGUGAGUAACACGUGGGUAACCUACCCAUAAGACUGGGAUAACUCCGGGAAACCGGGGCUAAUACCGGAUAAUAUUUUGAACUGCAUAGUUCGAAAUUGAAAGGCGGCUUCGGCUGUCACUUAUGGAUGGACCCGCGUCGCAUUAGCUAGUUGGUGAGGUAACGGCUCACCAAGGCGACGAUGCGUAGCCGACCUGAGAGGGUGAUCGGCCACACUGGGACUGAGACACGGCCCAGACUCCUACGGGAGGCAGCAGUAGGGAAUCUUCCGCAAUGGACGAAAGUCUGACGGAGCAACGCCGCGUGAGUGAUGAAGGCUUUCGGGUCGUAAAACUCUGUUGUUAGGGAAGAACAAGUGCUAGUUGAAUAAGCUGGCACCUUGACGGUACCUAACCAGAAAGCCACGGCUAACUACGUGCCAGCAGCCGCGGUAAUACGUAGGUGGCAAGCGUUAUCCGGAAUUAUUGGGCGUAAAGCGCGCGCAGGUGGUUUCUUAAGUCUGAUGUGAAAGCCCACGGCUCAACCGUGGAGGGUCAUUGGAAACUGGGAGACUUGAGUGCAGAAGAGGAAAGUGGAAUUCCAUGUGUAGCGGUGAAAUGCGUAGAGAUAUGGAGGAACACCAGUGGCGAAGGCGACUUUCUGGUCUGUAACUGACACUGAGGCGCGAAAGCGUGGGGAGCAAACAGGAUUAG